This 10181-nucleotide long non-coding RNA is filed under the name Solanum lycopersicum (tomato). Its description in RNAcentral is "long non-coding RNA (SLYC_LNC001114)". The record is from RNAcentral. Lineage: Eukaryota; Viridiplantae; Streptophyta; Magnoliopsida; Solanales; Solanaceae.
UUUAGAAGAGAAGAGAAAAGAAAAAGAAAGUUGGUCACGAGGAGAAAGUGAGUUGUGUUGACAAGGAAUUAAAUUAAAAAUGGAGAAAAAUGAAUUGAUGAAGUUGAAAAGUAGUGAGAGUCAGGUGAUGGACGGUUCAGAUAUAAUGAAGUUAGUUGGAAAUGAGGCUGUGUUUAGUAACUUUGUAGAUCAUAAGUUUGAAGAACUUGACAUAGACAAAGACGGUAAACUUUCAGUGAAGGAGUUACAACCUGCUGUUGCUGAUAUUGGUGUUGCCCUUGGUUUACCUCCUCAAGGUUCUUCCCCUGAAUCUGAUCAUAUCUACUCUGAGGUACUUCCAUUUCUCACUUCAAAAAUACCAUAAAAACUUGUCAGGUUUGUUAGUAUUAAAUAAAUUUAUCAGGUUACUUUAUCCAUCAAAACCUAACUAGGAGUAACAUUUUUUUUGUUUCCGUUGAAUUUUGAACCACGAUCCCUCUAAUUUUCACCCACUUUGUUGAUGUUGUUACAUAUUCUUAAACAAAUAUAUAUACACAUGUAUUUUGGUUAAUUAUUGGUUGAAAUAGUAAAUGCAUAUCGCAAAUGGUACUGGUAUGGGGCCGUAAGAAGCCAGAUGUUUAAUGAUUACAGAGUGCUUGAGAUGAGACAGCAACUCAACUGGACUCUUGUGUUUGGACUGUUUAUUUAUUUUCUUCAUUUUUUUAAUUCAAGGGUUCAAGUUAUCAAGUUUCAAAGUCAUGGAUAUGGAUGCGGUUCCAUUUGCACGCACUCAAAUAUUUUUAAGGGAUAGUCCAAAAAUAGAUAUUUUAAUAUCGCCUAACUCCCAAAUAAACAAUUAAACUUUUGAAAAUGUGUAUCUAGGCACUUUAACUUUUAAGUUGUCCUAUAAAUACCACACAACUUUGAGAAUGUAGUCCGUUGAAGGUGUCUGAUGUGUAUAAACAAAGUUAAAAGGUGUUCGUGAGGUGCACCUAUGUAAGUAGAAGAGUUCAUGAAAAAAAUUACACCAUAUAUAGAUAGCUUAAUAUCCUAGUUGAAAAUAUUAUUUAUUCAAAAAUAGUGUAUGUCUUUUGAUGAGUCUUGGCAUUUAAGUUGUUCUGUCUGUACUUUUUUUUGUUUUUUGUCCCCCUCCUUUUUCCUUAACCAUUUGGAAUCACCAUUGAAGAAGAGAUGGAGAUUGCCUAGAAAUGUUCUUCUUUUUUUUUUUAACUUCUUAAUUUUUGAAUCUGCCGACAAUGAUGAUAUGGACAGAAAAAAUUUGGUUAAUUCUAUUUUUUAAAGAUUGUUCUCAGAGGCAGCAUUCAUACUUUUUAUGGACAGGUACCUGUAAAAGUUUUUUACAUUGUCAGUGUAUAGUAGUUAAAUUCUUCUCUAUAUCGAGAAAUAUUUUGUCAACCCUUUUCAUUAGUGAACUUGUUGCGACUUAGGUUCUUCAAGAAUUCACACAUGGAAAGCAAGAGAAAGUAAGCAAGACUGAGUUUAAAGAAGUUCUUUCAGAUAUUUUACUAGGAAUGGCUGCUGGUCUAAAGCGAGAUCCUAUUGUACUCCUUCGUAUGGAUGGUGAAGAUCUUCUUGAGUUCGUUAAAAGUCCUGCAUUCGAACCAGAGAUGAUUUCCCUGUACUCUGAGUUAGAAUUGCCUGAUGGAUCCCUCAAAGAUUACAUCAUCAAGGCUUUUGAGAAGCUCACGGUUGAUCAAGGGAUGCCUCCUGCAUCAGACUCAUGGGUAGUUCAUUUUUCUCUUUGAUGGCUUAACAUUCAUGUCUAGCUAGAAAUUUUACUCUAGAAGAUUACAUAAAUUUGGUUACUUGCAAGACAUGACAAAUUAACGGUUACAAGUAUAGUCUUUUAAAAUGUGAUUGCUCACUGAUUCGUAAAAUUUGUUGCUUACAAUCCUGUGUAACUUCUUUGUUACACAUUUAUUUUUAUGAUGAGUUCUUUUCUAAUUAUUAGAGCAUAUUACUUUGUUAUUAUCUUGAUCUGUAGGUAAUGAGUAAUGUUGUGGAGCCAGUAGUUGAAUCCUGCAUUGGAGCAACUAACGAGCAACCUGUUACACAAGAAACAUUUUUGGCUGAAUUUAAGAAAGUUGCAGAGAGUGCUGCUCAACGUCUCAAGGAGCAGCCAGUCAUUGUUGCUCACAGCGAGAAUCAUUUGAUGAAUGGAAUUAAAAGACUAUUGUCUAACAACUAAUGGAUAAGGUAUUUACACAUCACCCAUGGUGUUGUCUUGGGACCUAAUAAUAUAAGUAAAAUAUCAUGCUACAAGAAAUGAAAUUUCUUUGGGACUAAUGUCAUACAAAUUAUUAUGGAGCAACUUUCUUAUCCUUGUGGCAUGAGGGUCUUAAAUUUAGUAUGUAUAAUCUACGGUUUAGAUAAUUUGCUUGCUCCUCAUCAGGUUUAUAAAAUUUCACCAAAAUUCUACGAAAUAUAUUAUUUUUUUGCAGAUUAGAUGGCCGAAAGAAAUCGGGCUGUUGUCCAUAAUUGGGGUGGAUAACGCGUUACACGAAGCCCAAACCCAAAAUAGGCCCAAUCUCUGUUGUCAAAGUGUUCCGCACCCGCCAACUUCCACAAACAAACAACGCCUUAAACCCUUGCGAAUUUGGCUGUGAACGUCUUCCUCAUACUCUCAAAAACAGUAUUAGUAUUAUUUUAUGGCGGAAAUGGAUAAUAAUGGGCAAGUCGAAGAGGCUGCAAGGCGUGUACAGGUCCGGUUCGUAACGAAAUUGAAGCCCCCAUUUAAGGCCCCGCCUACUUCCAUUGCUAUUCCCUCCAACCUCACCCGAUUGGGCCUCUCUUCCAUAGCCAACAACCUCCUUAAAGCUGGUAAUUUUUUAGUUCUAACAGAUUCUGCCUACUAUUAGUUUUCUUUUUUUUUUUAAAAAAAAAGGGGGAAUGUAGAUCAUAUAGCUAAGCGGAACUAGUUUGUACCUUAAGCGUAGUUGAUUGAUUGGUUGUGUUUGUGUACCUGAGUUAUAACUUUGAAUUGGUGUGGAAAUGGUUUGCCUUUUGUCGUAGGUAAAUAAUUAUAAUUAUAGAGGAUAUGGUCAUUCACGCUGAAGUAGAUUUUUGUGGGAAAUGAUGAACUCAUGCUAAUUGUCAAUUUGUCUUAAUUGACUAACUCACCUCACUUGACUAGUAGAAUAGAUUGCUAGUUGUGGUCCGAGAUAUUUGUUAUUAUGGGUUAAUGGUGCCAUAAAUGAGUUAUUUUAUCCUUAGAAAUGACUAUCAAAAUGUUAUUUUGUCAAAAUUUGAGUCAGGGAUAAAAGAGUCAGGUUUUACAUUUAACUAAAUAAAAGGAACUGUUCUCACCAAUUCUGCUAUAUGUGUUUUUACUAGUAUGCUUACCUGUUUUCAUUUGAUUGUUAUUAGGAAAGGAUAAUUGGAAUCCUGAGCCUUUCGAUUUUCUCAUUGAUGGAGAACUGGUCCGCAUGUCACUUGAAGAGUUUCUCCUCGCCAAGGGCAUUUCAGCUGUAAGUCUCUUUCCUGACAUCACUACUUGACUGCUAAAAAUAACAGUUAUGUCUCUUCAGACCAACUCAAAAAUAAAAGGUACUCAUGGAGAACUGUUAUUUAUUUCUUAUACAGGAGAAAAUAUUAGAGAUUGAGUACAUUAGAGCUGUGGCUCCAAGAAAACAAGAAGAACCAUCUUUGCAUGACGACUGGGUCAGUGCAGUUGAUGGUUCUAAUUCUAAGUAAGCAUGAGUGUGAAAUUUGUUUUUCAAGAACCUUCAGUGUGAUCCUUGUAAUCUUUUCCGCCUUGUGUAUCUUUCUAUGUUUGAUAUAUUUAAGACUUGAUCUGAGUAUGCUUCGCUUCUAAAGGAACUUCUGUACUAAAAGAGAAUAUUGGCUUAUCCCGAAAAAAAAUAGAGAGCCCUCAUAAUAUAACUUAAUGGACGGUUUUAUGUUUUUGGCUAUUGCAUCUCUGUACCUUAUACAUUGUGCAUUCACUUCACUCAUAGAUAUCUGUUACACACUAGAUUACCGAGGACAAUAUUGAUGAUAUUAUUACAUUGUGCUGCUUUUGUUCCAAGUGUUUUUGAGUUAAAUUUCAUCCUCCGUGUGCUUUUCUCCACUAAAAUAUGGGAUGGUGAUAGUUAAGAAUGUAAUAAUGGUCUUCUUUCCAUACAAUGAAUUAUUGCCUUAACUAACAAUAUGUGCAUAUUUGUGAUCUGUCAGGUUUGUUUUGACUGGAUGUUAUGAUGGCUUAGGAAGGUGAUCCACUGAUUGUAUCUUCUUUUGCUAGUCGCAUUUUUUGGUUCAGAACUCAACUUUUUUUUUUUUUUUAUUAUUACAUCAGCCUAACAUUUGAUAGUGCUAAUCAGAAUAUGGAAGGCUGCCGGAUCUUGUACACAUCUACUGGAGGGCCAUACUGGGGCAGUUACUUCUGUUUGUGUUGUCAACCCAAGAGGUAUCAGAGGGAGAUAGUUUCUCCUCAGUUGCUCAUUUUCUUGCAUUAUGCUUUACCGUCUGCUGCCAUUAUCAUUUAUCUGUGACACCAAAAGUUCAUAGGUAUCAGAGGGAGAUAGUUUUUCCCCAGUUGCUUGUUUUCUAGCAUUAUUCUUUACAGUCUGCUGCCAUUAUCAUUUAUCUGUUCAUACUCUUACAUCACCUGCUUUUGGUAUUUGUUUUUUCGAAUAAUAUUUCUUGUUGAUAUUGCAAUGCUGAAAACACGCUGGAUACCAAAAACUAUUACCAGCAUGAGAAUAAUGCGGACAUAUAAUUUGACAUUCUCCUGGAUGUUUUACUUCUUUGUGUUUCAUUUCUUCCGCAAUUCUGUCUGUGUUUAUCAUAUUUAUACCUUUUAUUUUCUUAAGUGGCUCAAGAUGGCGCUGAUCAAAUAGUCGUUACGGCUUCCAAGGAUAGGACACUGCGGCUCUGGAAGGUAACAUGAUGUGCCUUUACUACGAAUAACUCUCUGCCUAAUUCGUGAUCUUCCUCUAAUUAGUAUUUGUUUGGCUUAAAAGUUUGAUUCAGAUGAGCCUUCAGAUCAGAUAAAGAGGAUUAGAGCAUAUAAAAUUUUACAUGGACAUAAUUCUUCUGUUCAAAGUGUUGCAGCAAAUCCUGCUGGAGAUAUGGUCAUUCAUCUCUUCACUUAAUUGAUCAUUUGAAGCUUUUUAAUUACGUAUUUGAUUAUAAGAAGUUUACUGACUCCCUGUUUUUGUUGUGUUGGACAGGUGUGUUCAGGGUCCUGGGAUUGCCAAAUAGCUCUGUGGCAAGCAAGUGGCUCAGAUACAGGUGAUGUAAUUUCAGUCAAGAGAAGGAAGAAGGAUGCCAAAGAGGAGGAUCCUCUAGUAGAAGUAUGGCCACAUUUCUUCUAACUUGUCUAGGUUAAAGAUAGAAAAAUACAUCUAUUUCAUGCCACAUAGUGUUAGAAAUCCAUGACCUGUUUAAUACGGAUAAUGUGUUUGUUCUAACAUCUACCUUAUCCCAAAAAAAGGGUAAUGUGUCUGUUCACAAAACCAGUGAAAAAGAAGGAAAGAACAGUUUAUGGCUGUUGUUACUAUUUGAUUUCAAAAACUUUUCAGUGCAAGGCAUAUACUUAACAAAACAAUCUACUUUUACUCUUUGGCAAAACCUCUUCUUCCCUGAACCCUAUUUUGAAUCCUUCUUCAUCCUACCUCUCAUAUGCCACACCCAUCCAAUUGUCCCAACUUUGUGUUGCUACUCCCUCAAUUUUAAAUUAUGUGACAUAGUUUGAACCAGCACGGAGUUUAAGAAUAAAAUGAAGAUUUUGGGUACGUGUGGUCUAAAAUAUGCCAUAACAUUUGUGUGGCUGUAAAGAUUUUGAAACUGGCUAUCUGUCCGGUAGAUUCCUCCCUUGUUCCUUAUCUACCACCUUUGUUGUCAUUAUAUUCUUCUUUUCAAAGUUGUUUCAACAACAAUUUUGUGCCAGUCCAACGUGUUUCUGACUUUCUAUGUUGUAUCUCAUAGAAAAUUGAUAUUGAUUAGCAAAAUCUUUUGUCCCUUUUGAUGAAAGACAAACAACCUUCUGAUUUCCUUAAAUGACGAUGUUCAUCAAUGCAACUGAAGGACCAAACUAAUGUUGAAAUUGGUGUUCGAAAUAUGUCGGUCUUUGGCUCACUCUGAGUUGCUUAAUCUUUGUUCUGUCUCUUCCUUUUUUAUUUUUUUUAUUUUCUUUUCAAAAGAUUUUUUAAUGAUUGUUAUCCUAAUCUUGUAAAUAAUUUUCUCACAUCUUAUGCUCACAGGAGGAGGCUAAAUCUACACUUGUAGGACAUACACAAUGUGUGUCUACCGUGGUGUGGCCACAAGAUGAAGCAAUCUAUUCAGCAUCGUGGGAUCACUCUAUUAGAAGAUGGGAUGUUGAAUUGGGCAAGGAUUCGUUGAACCUGGUGACAUGCCAUCUCUUUUCUUCUGUUCUUCCAGUCACAUCUUUACUGUCAUGUGCAUGCUUUCCUAAACUUACGUACAUAUGGAUCGGAGAGGGAGAAGUAAAUAUCAACUUGCAGAAUAUGAAAUUAUGAAAAAAAUGUGGAAGGUGUCGCACUCAGAUAUGCCAAUCCUAGUGAUAUUGCUUUCCUUUUUUGUCAGAGAUAACAUUUCUCUUCAGCAGUUAACAAUCAUAUUUUUAAAAAUUACACCGUCUUGAAGAAAAAGAUACCUCCCCAUCAUGACAAGUAGCUGGGUUUGAACUUUGGUAAUACCAAAAUGUAUCUUUCUUUUUUAAGUCUGUUCUGUUGAGAGCUUGAAACUGUAUUUUCCUGAAAGUAUGGAUGAUGAUCGCCUUCCUCUUCAACAGUAUUGCGACAAAGUCAUUAAUUGCCUUGAUGUUGGAGGUGAAGGUUCUGCCCUCAUUGCUGGUGGUGGUUCUGACCCCAUUCUUAGGAUAUGGGAUCCUCGCAAACCAGGUUUCUUUCUUUUUCUGUACAACUUGCAGAAGCACUUUUAAACAUCCACUUGAACUUGGAAAACCUCGUCUCUAUGUGCUUAAAUACCUUUUUCUCUGUAUUUAUUGUCCAAGUAACUGUGACCUUACAUCACAUAUUGAUAUAUACUCUUUCAUUUACCACUUAACAGGUACUUCGGCUCCUGUCUAUCAGUUCUCAUCGCACAGUUUUUGGAUAUCCACCUGCAAGUGGCAUGAAAAGUCACGGUUUCACUUGCUUUCUGCAUCAUAUGAUGGAAAAGUAAUGUUAUGGGACUUGAGAACUGCGGUUAGUACUACACUUUUUACGUCUCUAUUAUUAGUAGUACGACUCUUUAUAAGCACUUACAUUUUCUGUUCCUGGGUAAAAUAAUUUGUGUUGCAGUGGCCCCUUGCUGUCAUUGACACUCACAAUGACAAGGUACUAUUUUUGCCUUCUAAGAUUUGGUUUAAGAGUAUUUGUUCUACUAUAGCAUUUCCUAAACAUCAGGCUGUCAAUACAGGUACUAUGUGCGGAUUGGUGGAAAGGUGAAAGUGUUGUCAGUGGUGGGGCUGACUCGAAACUUUGCAUCUCUUCUGAUGUUUGUGUGUUGUGAUAUAGAGGUAAAUUACUCUAUUUUUUGUGUAGAGCUUUGAAACCUAUUAUCUUUCAUCACUUUGUUCACUGGAGUAGAACAGGUUAUUUGAAAAAGGAUUAGAACUCAUCAUAAUACAAUUCGCAGACUGAUGGUUGAUGUGUUUUACUAACCACCCUAUUUGAAGCACUCGAUCCCUUGAUUGAAAUGAUGGUAGCUGUGACAAUUGUUCACUUGGCUAAUUUUCUUUCAGGAUUGAUCUCCCCUCCCCUAUUGCAGAGGCGACGGUGCUCCAUAUUGAUGCGAUUUUGCUAAUAGAAUUCGUUGGGUCAAGCUGAAGUUGUGAUAAUUUACUUCAUAAAACAAUUUUGUCUGUGCUAAAGUAUAGUCUAUAAAUGGUUUGUAUCAUAUAUUCCUGUGAGUUAGAUUGAAUUGAAGUUGUAUCUCGCGGAUGUACAUUUUUAUUUUAUUACAAGAUAUUUACCCUCAAGCAAAUUGAUCAAGAGUUACUAUUUUCAACCAUUGAACUAUCCAAACACUGAUUUCAUGUGUUAUUGAGUGACUGCAACUUGUCAUCCAGGAAUAUGACGAAUUGAUCGAUGUUCUUGGUUUGUUAGUUAAAGAUUUGGUGUUCGAAUUAACAUUUUUAGUAAUAAAGCACGUGUCAUGUUACAAACACGCGAAGCAUCGAUCCGUUAUUCUUGGCCAGUCCAAGUGUCCACAAAGCCCAUGGAAUCCACAUCCGGCCCACUAAAUUGUAAGCCCUGGCCCAUGAGAACCAAAUUACGUGUAUACCAGGGUAUACGUGCCCCACAAAAAAGGACACGCGUCACAUAGUAAGCAAGAAAAAAAAGUUUCAAAUCCCAUGAGGUCACAAAGACUUCGUACAAUUGCCCACCCUAACCGCCCCAUCUGUCCCAACCACACAAAAUAUAUAUAUUUGAAAUUGCUCUAUAUUACUUAUUCAUAUUUUUUUAAUAAAAUAAAUUUCAUGUCUAAGAAUACAAGAUAAAAAAUAAUUUUAUAUAUUUAAUAUAAUUUUAAUUUCUUAAAUUUCAUAUCACAUUUUUUUUAAAACAAAGAAAGUAUUAGUUUCAUCCCAAACAAUUAUCAGGCUUAAAUACUUUUUGAUUGACUCUGCUUAAAUACACAAACCUAUCUCAACCUCUCCUAAAAGUGCUUAUUUAAAACCAACAGUGAACAUAAGGUGUCCUUAUUGUCACAUCGUUUUCUCUAGAACUCUCUCUCAAAAGAAGUAGUACACAUAAGUCAUACUAGUAUACAUUGAUUUGAGACGCACCUUUUCUUUUCUUUUUUUUAGAAGAGAAGAGAAAAGAAAAAGAAAGUUGGUCACGAGGAGAAAGUGAGUUGUGUUGACAAGGAAUUAAAUUAAAAAUGGAGAAAAAUGAAUUGAUGAAGUUGAAAAGUAGUGAGAGUCAGGUGAUGGACGGUUCAGAUAUAAUGAAGUUAGUUGGAAAUGAGGCUGUGUUUAGUAACUUUGUAGAUCAUAAGUUUGAAGAACUUGACAUAGACAAAGACGGUAAACUUUCAGUGAAGGAGUUACAACCUGCUGUUGCUGAUAUUGGUGUUGCCCUUGGUUUACCUCCUCAAGGUUCUUCCCCUGAAUCUGAUCAUAUCUACUCUGAGGUACUUCCAUUUCUCACUUCAAAAAUACCAUAAAAACUUGUCAGGUUUGUUAGUAUUAAAUAAAUUUAUCAGGUUACUUUAUCCAUCAAAACCUAACUAGGAGUAACAUUUUUUUUGUUUCCGUUGAAUUUUGAACCACGAUCCCUCUAAUUUUCACCCACUUUGUUGAUGUUGUUACAUAUUCUUAAACAAAUAUAUAUACACAUGUAUUUUGGUUAAUUAUUGGUUGAAAUAGUAAAUGCAUAUCGCAAAUGGUACUGGUAUGGGGCCGUAAGAAGCCAGAUGUUUAAUGAUUACAGAGUGCUUGAGAUGAGACAGCAACUCAACUGGACUCUUGUGUUUGGACUGUUUAUUUAUUUUCUUCAUUUUUUUAAUUCAAGGGUUCAAGUUAUCAAGUUUCAAAGUCAUGGAUAUGGAUGCGGUUCCAUUUGCACGCACUCAAAUAUUUUUAAGGGAUAGUCCAAAAAUAGAUAUUUUAAUAUCGCCUAACUCCCAAAUAAACAAUUAAACUUUUGAAAAUGUGUAUCUAGGCACUUUAACUUUUAAGUUGUCCUAUAAAUACCACACAACUUUGAGAAUGUAGUCCGUUGAAGGUGUCUGAUGUGUAUAAACAAAGUUAAAAGGUGUUCGUGAGGUGCACCUAUGUAAGUAGAAGAGUUCAUGAAAAAAAUUACACCAUAUAUAGAUAGCUUAAUAUCCUAGUUGAAAAUAUUAUUUAUUCAAAAAUAGUGUAUGUCUUUUGAUGAGUCUUGGCAUUUAAGUUGUUCUGUCUGUACUUUUUUUUGUUUUUUGUCCCCCUCCUUUUUCCUUAACCAUUUGGAAUCACCAUUGAAGAAGAGAUGGAGAUUGCCUAGAAAUGUUCUUCUUUUUUUUUUUAACUUCUUAAUUUUUGAAUCUGCCGACAAUGAUGAUAUGGACAGAAAAAAUUUGGUUAAUUCUAUUUUUUAAAGAUUGUUCUCAGAGGCAGCAUUCAUACUUUUUAUGGACAGGUACCUGUAAAAGUUUUUUACAUUGUCAGUGUAUAGUAGUUAAAUUCUUCUCUAUAUCGAGAAAUAUUUUGUCAACCCUUUUCAUUAGUG